RNAcentral lists this ribosomal RNA (447 nucleotides) under uncultured bacterium. Its description in RNAcentral is "bacterial SSU rRNA". It matches the Rfam family "Bacterial small subunit ribosomal RNA", at positions 355 to 825 of the family's 1533-position model. The record is from RNAcentral.
UCGGGAAUUUUGGGCAAUGGGGGAAACCCUGACCCAGCAACGCCGCGUGAAGGAUGAAGUAUUUCGGUAUGUAAACUUCGAAAGAAUAGGAAGAAUAAAUGACGGUACUAUUUAUAAGGUCCGGCUAACUACGUGCCAGCAGCCGCGGUAAUACGGGGGGUGCAAGCGUUAAUCGGAAUUAUUGGGCGUAAAGGGUGCGUAGGUUGUUUGAUAAGAUAUAUGUGAAAUACCUGGGCUCAACCUGGGAAGGUCAUAUAAGACUGUCAGACUCGAGUAUGGGAGAGGGUAGAGGAAUUUCCGGUGUAGCGGUGAAAUGCGUAGAUAUCAAGAGGAACACCUGAGGUGAAGACGGGUUGCUGGGCUGACACUGACGCUGAGGCGCGAAAGCCAGGGGAGCAAACGGGAUUAGAUACCCAAGUAGUCCCUGAGCGGGCUGGCAAGGCGCAU